UCAAGAAAAAGGACUUACAGUAACAAGAUUCCUUGUUUGCUAACCCGUUGGCUGCUACCCUUGAAUCUCCCUAUUUGUCAACAACAUAAAUGAGGUUAAAUAUUGUGAUAAUGCUAUCAUCAUUAUGUUGCCUAUAAGACCAAAUGUGGGGUUAUCCCUCCAAAAUAAGGCAAUAACCACACGUUCAACGCGGAUAAUUCGUUUUGUCAUCGAACUUGACUCAUUCCAUCUUCUGGAUUGCUUAGGAAAGCUGAUUGGUGUUACCUGUGUAAUGACCGAGAAGAUGCGGCCUACAUGAAC
Molecule: long non-coding RNA, 300 nt
Organism: Daphnia pulicaria
Lineage: Eukaryota; Metazoa; Arthropoda; Branchiopoda; Diplostraca; Daphniidae
Exons: 3
Source: RefSeq, a predicted model, not a curated record